AUGUUUCUUUAUUUGUCAACUUUGUUUCAUUACUUUAGUCCAAUGGGCUUGUACAUCGAAACAUGUUUACAGAAAAAAUAAAAAAGAUUCAGUACAAGAUAAACCCAAAACUUUAAUCGACUCCAUAUUUUUCAUCAAGUCCACAUGUUGACGGCAAGAGCAUUUCUGUGACACGUGUAAUAACACGUGGUCAUCAUGCAGUAUCAACAAUUUCUUCCACCGCCAGUGUUCCUCCAUCGUAAGCUCCUCCGAAGUCGAUCUUCUGUAGUUUGGUUCCUUGUCUUUGAGACGAUUUGAUCCCGCUGCAAAAUCAUCCUUGCUUCUUCGACGUCAAUUGAUUGAACUCUUGCUAUUUCAGAUGUUAAUAAAGUGAUCACUUAGUCGAUACAAAAGAAGAUCUUUUGUUGGACCGCUAUGAGGCGCCAAAUUCAGCUAAAUCUCCUAUGAGAAAACUGGAUUGGAUCUAUCACCAUCUCAUCCUUCCCUUCGGAAAGCUUCUCCUUGUUACCCACUUUUCCAGGGAACCUUCAAACCGGUGAAGCUGAUAUCCUAAAGAAAAGAACUAGAGUACAUCGUUAGACCAUCUCCAAUGGGACUCCAUUUUUUCCUCUAACAUUUACACCAAAACAGAGUAACUCUAUUAGAGUAUCUCUAAAAACACUAUAACUUCAAAUAUGAAGUUUUUUGUCCUUUAAAACGAAAUUUCAAAACUUCAAAUUUUGAAGUUUUGAAGUAUGAAACUCUAUAUCUGAAGUUUCACUAUCCAAAACUUCAAAUUUGAAGUUUCAUAUUAUUAUUGCAUUUUGAUCCCUACAAUUAUACAUUACAUUUAUAAUUCUCAAAUAUUUUAAGUUUUAAUACUUAAAAUUUUUAUCUCAUGAAUAUUUCAAAUUGUUUUUAUAAAUUUAAGUUUUAUACAUAAAACCUUAAAAUAAUAUUUAAAAUAUUUUAACAACAACAAUACACAAAAGAAACUUAACAUUUUUUUAAAGUUACAUGAAGAUAUAACUAUUACAAAAAUUUAAAUAUUACAAUAACACUAAUAGUUAGGUAAAUUUGAUCAGGAACAUCCAAAAUUUCCUAAAUAUUGUCCAAAAGUUUUUGUGUAGCCGAAAAAGGUUGUUGUUGUUUUUUUAUGUCUUUUCGUCUGAUUCUUUCUUGUUCAGAUUGAAUGUAUUCACGAGUAUUAAUAUCAUCGUUAGAAGUUAAAUAUUUUAGCAUUACUUUAUAUUCCUCUUACUUUCUUCUUCAGAUCUAAUGUAUUUACAAGUAUUAAUAUCACCCGAUUUCAACAAGUUUUAGCUCGUAAUUUACAAAUUAAAAUGAAAAGAAUCAUUUUUUACUUUGAAAUGAACUAGUUGAUCAUAUAUGAAUUACAUAAAUAAUUUUAUGGAAUGAUAUGGUGUUUUACUUAAAGUUUAAUACUAUUAGUUAUGUUAUUUAUAUUUAAAAUUUUAUAUUUUAAUAUAAUAUUUUAUUAAUUAAUAUUGUUUUAAUCUUUUUAUAUAUGUGCUAGUUAUUUACAAAACAAUUAUGAAUACAAAUUAAUUAUGACAAAUAUAAAGACCAUAGUAUAAAAUAUAAAUAGUUUUAAAGUUAGUUUUGAAGUUUUGCUUUUGGAGUAGAGCACCUUUAAACUUCAAAUAUAGAGUUUUGGAAACUUCAAAAUAGAGUGUCUUUUUGAAGAUGCUCUUAUGGAGUAACUUUUGCUCCAAAUGUACCGGCCCUGGGCGGAAGCGGUACAAGCAUGUGCUUCCGGCCCGUUUUACAAUAUCUAAAAUAUCGGCCGAUUGUUUGGGUAAAGCGUCAGUAGCAUAGUUGGUAAAACGUUGUUGUUUUACUAACAUAAGGUGAGUGGUUCGAAUAUCAUGUGCUAUAAUAUUUUUUUUAAAAAUGAAUAGGCCCAUAAUGAUUAUUUGCUUCCAGCCCAAAGUUUUCUCAGACCGGCACAGGCUCCAAUGGUGUUACUCUAUAAUAGAGUUACUCUAUUAUAGAGUGAAAUAUAGAUGAAUUUCACUUUUCCACUCAGAGUAAAAUAUGACAUUCUUCUAUAUUUCACUCUAAAAUAGAAUAACUCUAUGAUAGGGUAACACUAUUGGAGCAAAAGUUACACUAUAAUAGAGUUACUCUAUUUUAGUUUAAAUUAUAGAAAAAAAUAUAAUCUUAUUGGAGAUGCUCUUAAUAGAAAGAUAAUCAAGCAUUGACAGUUUGGGAUAAAGUUUAAACACUCGAAAGAGGUACAAGGCAAAACGAAACAAAAAGAUCGCCACCGCGAAGAUUAUAAUCCGCUAGACGGAACUUCUAAUCGAUCCAUAGAU
Molecule: long non-coding RNA, 2318 nt
Filed under: Brassica napus (rape)
Lineage: Eukaryota; Viridiplantae; Streptophyta; Magnoliopsida; Brassicales; Brassicaceae
Description: long non-coding RNA (BNAP_LNC001555)
Source: RNAcentral